Molecule: ribosomal RNA, 37 nt
Filed under: Trebouxia sp. P-210-Ia
Lineage: Eukaryota; Viridiplantae; Chlorophyta; Trebouxiophyceae; Trebouxiales; Trebouxiaceae
Description: partial 26S ribosomal RNA
Source: RNAcentral
UCGACCUGAGGUCAGGCUAGAACACCCGCUGAACUUA